Zonotrichia albicollis (white-throated sparrow) is the source of this 3548-nucleotide non-coding RNA. The record is from RefSeq and is a predicted model, not a curated record. Lineage: Eukaryota; Metazoa; Chordata; Aves; Passeriformes; Passerellidae.
UGACUCUCCGGCAGGGAGCGGCUGCGCUCCCGUCUCUGGGGCCAAGGCUUUGGAGGUACGAGCCUCAUCUCUGCACCUCCCUGCCUUCCUCCCACUGACAAAGCAAACAGGCUCUUCUGUGCUCCUGCAGCCCCAGCUUGGCAAGUAUUGGCUUAAUGCUGGCCCUUCUUCAGCUGUCAGUGGCCACUGCUCUGGCUGUCACUGUCCUCACUUGUGGUGGGCAGGAUUCCUGUGUUUUGAAGAUGCCCAGUUCUGACAUCUCCCUGCUGCCAGCUGUUGCUGGAUUUAGCUGGGACAAUGGGGUGGGAGCACCUCAGCCUUGCCAGGGGUGCUGCCAGGGCUGUGCUGGAGGUGCUGCCUGGCACCGGGAGCAGCUCAUGGGCCGGUGACUCUCACUGGACUCAGAACAAACCCUGUACUUUCAGGGUGCAAUUACUGGAACAUCAUUACUGCUGAUGAGCCUUUUGCUAAAAUGACUCUCCAGAUUAAAAACCUCAAGCAAACACAUCUGCACUCCUCGGCCUCCCAGCCCCGUGCUCCCGCGGCUGCUCUGGCUGCUGAUGUGCAGUUCCAGUCUCCCUCUCCCAGCCCUGCCUGUCUGCCGGGGCUCACGGGAGCGGCUGCAGCCGGGCUGCGGAGCCGCAGAUGCUGAGAGCUGUCAGGAGCACAGAGACGUUCUGGGUGGUUUUGGCUGAGAAUUCAGCUCUGCUCUAAUGAAGCCCAACAGCCGCUAAGGAGGUUUUAUUCAAGUCAAGGUGGUUUUGACUAAUCCCUCCUUGCAGCGUUCUCAGAGGUUCUGUGUGUUUCCAGGGCUGCAUUUUUCUUUCUCUCAGCCUUCAAAACCAACAGUGUUGAGGGGGAUGGCAGAGCCCUGGGGAGAGGAUUUUGGCUUCCCUCCCUGGGCAGGGGCCGGUUCCUGACAGGAACAGGAGGAGCCCAGUGUGCCCAGCCCGGCUCCAGCCCUGUGAGCACAGGAACAGCCACAGGUGCUCUCCACAUCCCCACUCAUUUCGAUGCAGCCAGCCUGACUUCCACCUCUCCUGGAGGAGCUAAUUAAGAUUAUGUUAAUGAGGCAGAGGUGCUGAUGCUGCCCAGGGUUUUAAUGACUUUCCUCCAAGUUUUCUUUUACUGGAGGCAGAAGGGUGGUUUGUAAGGACUGGUGGGGACAGGAGCAGGCCUGGCUGUCACACCCCCCAAGCAAGUGAAGGGAAAGUGGUGGAGUCAGGGCUAAAAUUCUACUGGGAGCAAAUUUCAGUGAUCUCUUUGGGGAGGCAGAUAAGACAGGUUUGUGUGUGCAUGUGGCAUGUGCCAGGAUGCUCUAAAAGCUGGAAAUGACUGAGUAGAGGUGCUGGAGCACUUAUGUAAAAUAUCUAAAUAAAUCUUUAAUAUUUCUAAUUGCAAAUGUACAUAAAUUGCACAGCCACAUCAUUUCUUUGAACACCAACAACUUUCUCUGUACAUUAUUACAUAGUUUAAAAGGAGCUGAAGGAGAUUCAGCAAACACUUCCACUUUGCAUUUUUGUUUUUUAAACAUACUUACAAAAAAAGAUUUGUUUUUCUUUAUAAGAGGAUAUAAAACAUAGCGACUGCUUAUCAGGAACAAGUAUCAGCCUAAGCAGAUAUACAGAGAGAGGUAUAUCUUAAGACACAGUGAUGUAUGAUAGAGGAAUAUGUGAACAUGGAGGCUGCACUCUGGGGUACUGGAAGCUGAUGCAGAGCCACAUGGCAUUUACAGCAAUGUCACAGCUCAGGUGAUGUGUGAAAGUCAAUGCUUGAAUGUGACACCCUUUUCAGAAGCAUGGUUGUUUCUGCAUGUUGUGCAACGCCCUCAGGAUUGGAUUUGGUUUGGACAGCCCGUGAGCUGCAUGUUGUCGUGCUGCUCUUGUCCUCCUGCUCCUCCAUGGGUGAUUUUCCCCAAGGGAGAAGGAGAAGGCAGCAGUUUGUCUGUGUGGGGUCAGAGCAGGGCAGGUGGCACUGGCCGAGCCUUCUGGCUGAGCAGUCUCCCCUGAAACAGCCCUGAGGCUCAGGGAGAGGCUGGGGAUGGCAGGGACUGUCCCUUCCUGUGGCCACUGAAGGGAGCUCCUGGUGGCCCUGAGGCCGUGGCUCUGCCCCACACCAGCUCCCAGUCCUGGCCAGCCUGGACUGCUUUGAACACAAACCUUUGUGAGGAAGUGACCCCAGCAGCCACUGCAGGUGGGAAGGAUGGAGUGUCCACCUAGGAACAGUGGCACAGAACGUGUUCCCUUUGGAUUUUGUUUUGUACUGUCCAGGCAGAGCUGUGUGGGGGACAGGGCAGGGACUGUGGGGGAGCUGCUGGACCCACUGGUCACAGGCUGCUGCCAGAAAGGCCUCGGCCCAGGGCUGCUCCCCCUGCCCUGGGAGUGCUGGGUAAAUGAGCCCCUUUCAGAUCAGACCCCUGGGCUGCAGCCUGUGGCUGUCCUGGCUGAACACAUCAAUGCAUCUGCCAUCUGGGACUGGAAAUCCUCUCCUUGUCCAUCACAGAACAGACCUCAGCACAUUUUCUGUUACCUCUGGGUGUGGACAUUAGGAACAGGAAAAAGCUUAUGAGCUAUCUAAACUUUGGGAAUGAUUGAUUCCUUGCUGAUUGCUUUCCUAGGAGAGCCUGUGACACCUCACUGAGGUCCAGCAAGUCCCUUUGCCCUUUAGGAGUAUUCACAGUAGCAGAACCUGUGUCCUGCAACCUUGCAGCAACCUCUGGGACUGGCUCCCAGACCAGAGGGUUCCACGUGUUCUCACAGUGCAAUCAGUGCUUUACAGCUGCGAAAGCGGAAAACAAAACCAACCAGACUCAAAUGGCAAUGCAAAGUGACACCGGACUCUUUGGAUGGCGGCAGGAUUUGCUUAAACUGGUGCAGAAGGGGCUGGUGACUACACUGUAGCAUUAUUAGUUGGCAUGGGGAAGGACUGGGGUCCCUCCCAUCUUUUGGCACUGAAGCCACAAUCCCUGUUCCAGAUGAUGAUACUUACAGUCCACAGAGACCUUGGGAUACCGCUCAGUCUCCUUCAUCCCCCUUCACACAAACCCGCUCAUUUUUUCAGGAGUGUUCGCUACAGUUUAACAAAACCCCAAAUCAAAACUCUAAAAACAGAAUCUUUGAGGUGGGCCCACCACAAAUCUGGAUCCAUGGCUUUGCUCUCUUCCCUCAGAUCCCCGAGGGAGGAGGCUGGAAUCAGAACAUGGGUCUGGAUCCGGAUUUGGCAGCCCGAGCCCACCUCUCCAACACAGCAGUGAGAUACAGCCAAAUCCCGACCGAAUAAGCAGCACCAGGAGUAAGUUACUAUAUACAACUGUUAGUGAGAUAGAUACGGUACAGUAAACACUGAGAACAUUUACAAAAAAAAAUUAAGACUUGUAUUAAGAUAAAAAUUGGAGUGUUUUUGCUUUGUUUACACUUUGACGAGUUUGCACUAGAACAGCCUCUCACUGUAGAAAGCGCAAGAACCAGGAAGGAAAUGGAGCCGCUCAUGAAACCUUGGGGACAGUGUGGUUUGCUCUGGUGCUGCAGCACCUCUCGGGAUCCAGGUAU